GAUGAACGCUGGCGGCAUGCCUAACACAUGCAAGUCGAACGAGACCUUCGGGUCUAGUGGCGCACGGGUGCGUAACGCGUGGGAAUCUACCCUUGGGUUCGGAAUAACAGUUAGAAAUGACUGCUAAUACCGGAUGAUGACGUAAGUCCAAAGAUUUAUCGCCCAAGGAUGAGCCCGCGUAAGAUUAGCUUGUUGGUGGGGUAAUGGCCUACCAAGGCGACGAUCUUUAGCUGGUCUGAGAGGAUGAUCAGCCACACUGGGACUGUGACACGGCCCAGACUCCUACGGGAGGCAGCAGUGGGGAAUAUUGGACAAUGGGCGAAAGCCUGAUCCAGCAAUGCCGCGUGAGUGAUGAAGGCCUUAGGGUUGUAAAGCUCUUUUACCAGGGAUGAUAAUGACAGUACCUGGAGAAUAAGCUCCGGCUAACUCCGUGCCAGCAGCCGCCGUAA
Molecule: ribosomal RNA, 449 nt
Filed under: uncultured bacterium
Lineage: Bacteria
Description: partial 16S ribosomal RNA
Rfam family: Bacterial small subunit ribosomal RNA
Source: RNAcentral